RNAcentral lists this ribosomal RNA (1368 nucleotides) under Triticum aestivum (bread wheat). Its description in RNAcentral is "partial small subunit ribosomal RNA". The record is from RNAcentral. Lineage: Eukaryota; Viridiplantae; Streptophyta; Magnoliopsida; Poales; Poaceae.
AUGAUUCCAGGACCUGGAAUCGUACCAGCCGAUGGGUGGUGGUUUCUCGCUCGUUCAGCUGAUGGUGGUCAUUUGAUGCUCAUUCGCACGUACCAAAUUGACCAAACCAUUACAUCAAACCACAUGCAGUACAAUGCGUGGGGAGUUUGUGACAUUGAUGGCUAUGGCUGCUUCGUGUUCGAGAAAGAUCCCAGCUCUGUUGGGCCAGGCGUAUUAAACUGGAGGCAGGUUUACAGCCUCGGCAACCACUCCUUGUUCCUCGGGCUCAAUUAUCUGAUCAUCCAACCAAUAAUCGAUCAUAUCACCGAUGAUGAUUACCGUGCUAUGCAACUUCCAUUCACGAGGGGGGACUGUGUUUACGCAUCAUACCAUGGGUUUCAUGAAUCAUCAUAUCCAGAGAUUCGUCGACACAGCUUGUUGCCAGAUAAUCUUCAAUGUGUGAAAGGCAUCAAGCUUCCAUGCGAUGGAUGGCUUUUGCAAACCCAACAUGCGGCAAUUUUGAAGCACUCAUCUGGUUUGAAGGAUAGUAGAUACCUUCCUGGGAUCAAGUGCAUCCUAACUCACCUGCUACCAUAUAACUGGAAUUACCGAUGCAAGUCGAAGAAGGAUUGGCCGGUGCUACCGGCUAGCAUCAAGUUUGGUCCCACGGAUCAGGAGCUGAUCGAGCACCUUGAGGCCAAAGUGAGUGCUGACGGUGUGAGAUUUCAGUCUCUCAUCGAUUUGUUCAUACCAACCAUCGACAGCGAGCACGACAUAUGCUACACCCAAGCUGAGAAACUUCCAGGUAUCACACUGAGUGGCCUAAGGAAGCAUUUCUUUCAGCGCAAUUCUAGGGCAUUCAAAAGGGGCACACGGGCAGCAAAAAAGGUUCUGGUGCUGCACACCAACAAGAACUUCGACCAGCAGAGGACCAACUGGGUGAUGCACCAGUACCACCUCGGGGACCUGGAGCAAGAGAAGGAGCGGGAGCUAGCCCAGCCCAUGACAACAACGGGGCACAAAGAUCCAUCAGAAACCGCUGAAAACCCCGACAGCCCGUUUGAUACGCGAGUUUUCCACAGCCCAAUCCCUCCGAGCCCCCUCCGAUACCCCCCUUUCCACGCGGUUUUCAGCCCUCGAGGGGGGACUCGAGGAUUCAGAGGAGUCGCCACCGCCGCCGCCCGACUCCUCCUCAAGACGCCGCCGCCCGCCGCCUUUACGCCGACGUAUCUCCUCCGGCAUACCCCUGGCUGUACGUCCUCACCUCACCUCGCCUCCCCUCACCCCCUUUCCUCUCGUCAUCUAGGUUUCUUCCACCCCCCCGGCCAUGGCUGCUGCCUCGUCCUCCGCAGCAAGCUCGCCAAGUGCGCCGUCUUUGAGGGCAACUAG